AUUGAACGCUGGCGGCAGGCCUAACACAUGCAAGUCGAACGGUAACAGGAAUCAGCUUGYUGAUUCGSUKACGAGUGGCGGACGGGUGAGUAAUGUCUGGGAAASUGCMUGAUGGAGGGGGAUAASUACUGGAAACGGUAGCUAAUACCGCAUAAUGUCGCAAGACCAAAGAGGGGGACCUUCGGGCCUCUUGCCAUCGGAUGUGCCCAGAUGGGAUUAGSUWGUAGGUGGGGUAACGGCUCACSUAGGCGACGAUCCCUAGCUGGUYUGAGAGGAUGACCAGCCACACUGGAACUGAGACACGGUCCAGACUCSUACGGGAGGCAGCAGUGGGGAAUAUUGCACAAUGGGCGCAAGCCUGAUGCAGCCAUGCCGCGUGUAUGAAGAAGGCCUUCGGGUUGUAAAGUACUUUCAGCGGGGAGGAAGGGAGUAAA
This 434-nucleotide ribosomal RNA is filed under the name uncultured bacterium. Its description in RNAcentral is "partial 16S ribosomal RNA". It matches the Rfam family "Bacterial small subunit ribosomal RNA", at positions 30 to 458 of the family's 1533-position model. The record is from RNAcentral.